GAUGAACGCUGGCGGCGUGCCUAAUACAUGCAAGUCGAGCGAACAGAUGAGGAGCUUGCUCCUCUGACGUUAGCGGCGGACGGGUGAGUAACACGUGGAUAACCUACCUAUAAGACUGGGAUAACUUCGGGAAACCGGAGCUAAUACCGGAUAAUAUAUUGAACCGCAUGGUUCAAUAGUGAAAGACGGUUUUGCUGUCACUUAUAGCUGGAUCCGCGCCGCAUUAGCUAGUUGGUAAGGUAACGGCUUACCAAGGCAACGAUGCGUAGCCGACCUGAGAGGGUGGUCGGCCACACUGGAACUGAGACACGGUCCAGACUCCUACGGGAGGCAGCAGUAGGGAAUCUUCCGCAAUGGGCGAAAGCCUGACGGAGCAACGCCGCGUGAGUGAUGAAGGUCUUCGGAUCGUAAAACUCUGUUAUUAGGGAAGAACAAAUGUGGAAGUAACUAUGCACGUCUUGACGGUAACUAAUCAGAAAGCAACGGCUAACUACGUG
This 497-nucleotide ribosomal RNA is filed under the name uncultured bacterium. RNAcentral's name for it is "partial 16S ribosomal RNA". It matches the Rfam family "Bacterial small subunit ribosomal RNA", at positions 28 to 507 of the family's 1533-position model. The record is from RNAcentral.